Molecule: ribosomal RNA, 773 nt
Filed under: Escherichia coli
Lineage: Bacteria; Pseudomonadati; Pseudomonadota; Gammaproteobacteria; Enterobacterales; Enterobacteriaceae
Description: partial 23S ribosomal RNA
Rfam family: Bacterial large subunit ribosomal RNA
Source: RNAcentral
GGGACACGUGGUAUCCUGUCUGAAUAUGGGGGGACCAUCCUCCAAGGCUAAAUACUCCUGACUGACCGAUAGUGAACCAGUACCGUGAGGGAAAGGCGAAAAGAACCCCGGCGAGGGGAGUGAAAAAGAACCUGAAACCGUGUACGUACAAGCAGUGGGAGCCUCUUAAUGGGGUGACUGCGUACCUUUUGUAUAAUGGGUCAGCGACUUAUAUUCUGUAGCAAGGUUAACCGAAUAGGGGAGCCGAAGGGAAACCGAGUCUUAACUGGGCGUUAAGUUGCAGGGUAUAGACCCGAAACCCGGUGAUCUAGCCAUGGGCAGGUUGAAGGUUGGGUAACACUAACUGGAGGACCGAACCGACUAAUGUUGAAAAAUUAGCGGAUGACUUGUGGCUGGGGGUGAAAGGCCAAUCAAACCGGGAGAUAGCUGGUUCUCCCCGAAAGCUAUUUAGGUAGCGCCUCGUGAAUUCAUCUCCGGGGGUAGAGCACUGUUUCGGCAAGGGGGUCAUCCCGACUUACCAACCCGAUGCAAACUGCGAAUACCGGAGAAUGUUAUCACGGGAGACACACGGCGGGUGCUAACGUCCGUCGUGAAGAGGGAAACAACCCAGACCGCCAGCUAAGGUCCCAAAGUCAUGGUUAAGUGGGAAACGAUGUGGGAAGGCCCAGACAGCCAGGAUGUUGGCUUAGAAGCAGCCAUCAUUUAAAGAAAGCGUAAUAGCUCACUGGUCGAGUCGGCCUGCGCGGAAGAUGUAACGGGGCUAAACCAUGCAC